This 397-nucleotide ribosomal RNA is filed under the name uncultured bacterium. Its description in RNAcentral is "partial 16S ribosomal RNA". It matches the Rfam family "Bacterial small subunit ribosomal RNA", at positions 523 to 918 of the family's 1533-position model. The record is from RNAcentral.
AUACGUAGGGGGCGAGCGUUGUCCGGAAUGAUUGGGCGUAAAGGGCGCGUAGGCGGCCCGGUAAGUCUGAAGUGAAAGUCCUGUUUUUAAGAUGGGAAUUGCUUUGGAUACUGUCGGGCUUGAGUGCAGGAGAGGUAAGUGGAAUUCCCAGUGUAGCGGUGAAAUGCGUAGAGAUUGGGAGGAACACCAGUGGCGAAGGCGACUUACUGGACUGUAACUGACGCUGAGGCGCGAAAGUGUGGGGAGCAAACAGGAUUAGAUACCCUGGUAGUCCACACUGUAAACGAUGAAUACUAGGUGUAAGAGGUAUCGACCCCUUUUGUGCCGGAGUUAACACAAUAAGCAUUCCGCCUGGGGAGUACGGCCGCAAGGUUGAAACUCAAAGGAAUUGACGGGG